RNAcentral lists this long non-coding RNA (1416 nucleotides) under Felis catus (domestic cat). RNAcentral describes it as "lncRNA (ENSFCAG00000048937.1)". Lineage: Eukaryota; Metazoa; Chordata; Mammalia; Carnivora; Felidae. The record is from RNAcentral.
ACAUUUCAAAAGCAGAUUUCAAAAUUACAAUAGCUGUUAUAUGAUUUUUAAAGUUUCACAAUAUUGGGGCACCUGGGUGGCUCAGUCGGUGAGUAUCCUACUUCAGCAUAGGUCAUGAUCUACCAUUUGGUGAGUUUGAGACCCACGUUGGGCUCACUGCUGUCAGCGAGGAGCCAGCUUCAGAUCCUCUGGCCCCCUCUCUCUGCCCCUCCCCCAUUUGUGCUCUCUCAAAAAUAAACAUUUUUUAAAAAGUAUCACAAUUUUUAUGUCACAUCUCUCUUUUUUAAAAUAAAUUUUAAACUCUCUUUUUUUUUCUUUUUGUUAUUUUUACUUUUUAUUUUAGAGAGAGAGAACAUGUGAACAGCGAAGAGGACCUUAGGGAGAGAGAGAGAAUCCUAAGCAAGCUGCAGGCUCAGCGCAGAGCCUGAUGCGGGGCUCCAUCUCACUACCAUGAGAUCAUGACCUGAGCUGAAAUCAGGAGUUGGUCAUUCAACCACCUGAGCCACCCAGGCGCCCCACAUCUCACUUUCAAAUCAAGGUAAAGGAUUUCUGCUUCCAAUAUUACUAAACUCCUAUCAGAUCAACCUUCCUGCAAAUAACUAUGAACACUGGAGGGGAAAAUCUUUGAAGGCACUGGAAAGUGAACAUUCACAGAUUUUGGAGGAGAGUCAACACAUGGACGAAGGGAAUUUCACAGGGCGAGUUUUCCAUUUUUAUAACUUUAAACCUGAAGACAGCCAACAAUUGGCACCUGGCCAAAAACUUAAAUUCUCUGUGGCCUGAAGAGACAAAAGACAGAGUUUGGGAAAAGCAAAACUGCUAUGAAGUGAGUGAGGAUCCAAAAAAGGAGAAAGCCAGAGAGUGAACGCAAAGUUGGGGUAAAUACUCUGCCAAAAUUACUUGCUGAAUCCUAAACCAUAAAUGAACAAUUGUUCUGAAGAACAAAGAAGAAAAAGUGGAAAAAAAAAUUAAUAGAGUGUUAUGUACCUGUAUGAGAAGAUCAAAGUCUAGCAUGUAUGUAAUACAAAUCCCAGAAAAAGAAGACGGAGAGGGAGACAGUAAAUGGCUCAAAACUCCCCAAAUUUAGUGAAAGACAUAAAUUUAUAGAUUGAAGAGAUUUAAUGAUAUAAAUAUGAAGAAAAUAAUGACUAGCCACAUCACAGUCAAAUGGCUUAAACCAGAGAUAAAGUGGAAAUACUGAAAGCUUCCAGAGAUAAACAAUACAUUAUAUACAAGGAAACAAUGAUUAGAACUUUUACUGACUUCUCAUCAGAAACUAUGGAGAUGAGAAUAUAGUAAAACAUUUUUUAUGUGCAGAAACAAAAAUACUGUCAAUCAAGAAUUAGACCCAGCAAAAAUAGCCCUUGAUAAUUAAAGUAAAAUAAAGAUAUUUUCAGAUAAAAUAGGACUAAGGGA